Molecule: long non-coding RNA, 469 nt
Filed under: Monodelphis domestica (gray short-tailed opossum)
Lineage: Eukaryota; Metazoa; Chordata; Mammalia; Didelphimorphia; Didelphidae
Description: lncRNA (ENSMODG00000039962.1)
Source: RNAcentral
CCAUGUGUCUCUUUUUUCUUCUUGUAGUGGUAUCAUUGGAUCAGAGGGUAUGACCGAUUUGGUGACUUUAGAGACAUAAUUCAAAAUUACUAGACAAGCAACUCUGAAAGACUUAAGAACGCUGAUCAACACAACAACCAACUAUGACUCUAAAGGACCAGUGAUAAAGCAUUUCCUAAGGGAGACAUGCCCAGAUCCAGCUUCUCAUUUCCUUAUUUCUUUUAAUGAUAAAAAGACAGUGUGACCUCAAAACCAGGAAGAAUUGGCUCCAAGUCCUAUCUCCAAUAAGUAAUGGUUGUACAACCUUAGUUAAAUCACAGCUUCUAUGGCAUUGCUCUGAGACCCCAAAUUGCAGGUACCCAAGAGUUGUAAACAAAGUCGCUGCCUGUCAAUCAGGGAAUGGCUAAGUGGAACAAGAAUAAGUUCUAAAAACAAUAAACAUGAAGAAUUUUGAGAACUGUGGGAAGAA